GACGAACGCUGGCGGCGUGCUUAACACAUGCAAGUCGAACGGAAAGGCCCUGCUUUUGUGGGGUGCUCGAGUGGCGAACGGGUGAGUAACACGUGAGUAACCUGCCCUUGACUUUGGGAUAACUUCAGGAAACUGGGGCUAAUACCGGAUAGGAGCUCCUGCUGCAUGGUGGGGGUUGGAAAGUUUCGGCGGUUGGGGAUGGACUCGCGGCUUAUCAGCUUGUUGGUGGGGUAGUGGCUUACCAAGGCUUUGACGGGUAGCCGGCCUGGGAGGGUGACCGGCCACCUUGGGCCUGCGGUACGGCCCAGACUCCUACGGGGGGCAGCAGUGGGGAAUAUUGCACAGUGGGCGGAAGCCUGAUGCAGCAGCGCCGCGUGCGUGAUGACGGCCUUCGGGUUGUAAACCGCUUUCGCCUGUGACGAAGCGUGAGUGACGGUAAUGGGUAAAGAAGCACCGGCUAACUACGUG
Molecule: ribosomal RNA, 468 nt
Filed under: uncultured bacterium
Lineage: Bacteria
Description: partial 16S ribosomal RNA
Rfam family: Bacterial small subunit ribosomal RNA
Source: RNAcentral